UGCGCAGGUGGGGAUGUAAGUCAGUGGUGAAAUGUUGCCGCUCAACGGUAAAAUUGCCAUUGAUACUGCAUCUCUUGAGUAUGGUUGAGGUAGGCGGAAUGUGUUGUGUAGCGGUGAAAUGCAUAGAUAUGACACAGAACACCGAUUGCGAAGGCAGCUUACUAAGCCAUUACUGACGCUGAGGCACGAAAGCGUGGGGAGCGAACAGGAUUAGAUACCCUGGUAGUC
Molecule: ribosomal RNA, 228 nt
Filed under: uncultured bacterium
Lineage: Bacteria
Description: partial 16S ribosomal RNA
Rfam family: Bacterial small subunit ribosomal RNA
Source: RNAcentral